CAAAAUAUAGCUUAAUUAAAGCAUCUCGCUUACACCGAGAAUAUAUCUGUGACACCCGGAUUAUUUUGA
RNAcentral lists this transfer RNA (69 nucleotides) under Microhyla heymonsi (Taiwan rice frog). RNAcentral's name for it is "tRNA-Val". It matches the Rfam family "tRNA". Rfam says of the family: Transfer RNA (tRNA) molecules are approximately 80 nucleotides in length. Their secondary structure includes four short double-helical elements and three loops (D, anti-codon, and T loops). Lineage: Eukaryota; Metazoa; Chordata; Amphibia; Anura; Microhylidae. The record is from RNAcentral.